RNAcentral lists this ribosomal RNA (2883 nucleotides) under Clostridioides difficile. RNAcentral's name for it is "bacterial LSU rRNA". It matches the Rfam family "Bacterial large subunit ribosomal RNA". The record is from RNAcentral. RNAcentral also lists the same sequence under 1 other name. Lineage: Bacteria; Bacillati; Bacillota; Clostridia; Peptostreptococcales; Peptostreptococcaceae.
AGGGUGCAGGGCGGAUGCCUUGGCACUAGGAGCCGAUGAAGGACGUGAUAAGCUGCGAUAAGCUUCGGGGAGUUGCACGUAAACUUUGAUCCGAAGAUUUCCGAAUGAGGAAACUCACUUAGAGUAAUGUCUAAGUAUCAUUAAGUGAAUACAUAGCUUAAUGAGGGGAACUCAGGGAACUGAAACAUCUAAGUACCUGAAGGAAGAGAAAGAAAUUCGAUUCCGUAAGUAGCGGCGAGCGAACGCGGAUUAGCCCAAACCAAUAAAGUUUUCUUUAUUGGGGUUGCGGACAUAUCAUAACGAAGAGGUAUCGUAAUUGAAGAGGUUUGGAAAGACCCACCACAGAAGGUAAUAGUCCUGUAUGUUAAACGAGAAGACUUUAGAUAUGAUCCAGAGUACCACGGGACACGUGAAACCCUGUGGGAAGCAGGAGGGACCACCCUCCAAGGCUAAAUACUACCUAGUGACCGAUAGCGUAUAGUACCGUGAGGGAAAGGUGAAAAGAACCCCGGGAGGGGAGUGAAAUAGAACCUGAAACCCUGCACUUACAAGCUGUGGAAGCACAUUUCUUGUGUGACCGCGUACUUUUUGUAGAACGGGCCAACGAGUUACGUUAAGUAGCAAGGUUAAGCACUUAAGGUGUGGAGCCGUAGCGAAAGCGAGUUUUAACUGAGCGUUCAGUUACUUGACGUAGACCCGAAACCGGGCGACCUACCCAUGAGCAGGAUGAAGCGAAAGUAAAAUUUCGUGGAGGUCCGAACCCACGAGCGUUGAAAAGCUCGGGGAUGACUUGUGGGUAGCGGUGAAAUUCCAAUCGAGCCCGGAGAUAGCUGGUUCUCCCCGAAAUAGCUUUAGGGCUAGCCUCAAGGUGAGAGAUACGGAGGUAGAGCACUGAAUGUCCUAGGGGGUAUUGCACCUACCGAAGACUAUCAAACUCCGAAUGCCGUCAUCUUAUACUUGGGAGUCAGACUGUGGGUGAUAAGAUUCAUAGUCGAAAGGGCAACAGCCCAGAUCGUCAGCUAAGGUCCCUAAAUGUAAGUUAAGUGGUAAAGGAUGUGGGAUUGCACAGACAACCAGGAUGUUGGCUUAGAAGCAGCCACUCAUUCAAAGAGUGCGUAAUAGCUCACUGGUCGAGUGAUCCUGCGCCGAAGAUUUCCGGGGCUAAAACUUACUACCGAAGCUACGGCAUCAGUAAUGAUGGGUAGGGGAGCUUCCCAUACGGGUUGAAGCAUGACCGUAAGGACAUGUGGACAGUAUGGGAGUGAGAAUGUUGGCAUGAGUAGCGAGAUGUGGGUGAGAAUCCCACAGGCCGUAAACCCAAGGUUUCCAGGGGAAGGUUCGUCCGCCCUGGGUUAGUCGGGACCUAAGCUGAGGCCGAAAGGCGUAGGUGAUGGACAACAGGUUGAUAUUCCUGUACUACCGAUAACCGUUUGAGAGAAGGGAUGACACAGUAGGAUAAGCUAAGCACACUGUUGGUUAUGUGUGCCCAAGCAUUGAGGCAGUCAAAGUAGGCAAAUCCGCUUUGAUAAUGCUGGGAUGUGAUGGGGAGCGAAAUUUAGUAGCGAAGUAGCUGAUUUCACACUGUCAAGAAAAGUCUCUAUCGAGGUUAAAGGUACCCGUACCGCAAACCGACACAGGUGGGUGAGGAGAGUAUCCUAAGGCCAGCGAGAGAACUGUUGUUAAGGAACUCGGCAAAAUGACCCCGUAACUUAGGGAUAAGGGGUGCCACCAUCAGGUGGCCGCAGAGAAUAGGCCCAAGCGACUGUUUACCAAAAACAUAGGUUUCUGCUAAGUCGCAAGACGAUGUAUAGGAGCUGACGCCUGCCCGGUGCUGGAAGGUUAAGGGGAUCUGUUAGAGCAAUCGAAGCAGUGAACUUAAGCCCCAGUAAACGGCGGCCGUAACUAUAACGGUCCUAAGGUAGCGAAAUUCCUUGUCGGGUAAGUUCCGACCCGCACGAAAGGCGUAACGAUUUGGGCACUGUCUCAACAACAGACUCGGUGAAAUUGUAAUUCCGGUGAAGAUGCCGGAUACCUGCGACAGGACGGAAAGACCCCAUGGAGCUUUACUGUAGCUUGACAUUGGGUCUUGGUACUACAUGUACAGGAUAGGUGGGAGGCUUUGAAACCAGGACGCCAGUUUUGGCGGAGCCAUCCUUGGGAUACCACCCUUGUAGUACUGGGACUCUAACCAUAGGCCAUGAAUCUGGUCUUGGGACACUGUCAGGUGGGCAGUUUGACUGGGGCGGUCGCCUCCCAAAAGGUAACGGAGGCGCUCAAAGGUUCUCUCAGUACGGUCGGAAAUCGUACGUAGAGUGUAAAGGCAAAAGAGAGCUUGAUUGCAAGACAUACAGGUCGAGCAAGGAUGAAAAUCGGACUUAGUGAUCCGGUGGUUCUGCGUGGAAGGGCCAUCGCUCAACGGAUAAAAGCUACCCUGGGGAUAACAGGCUUAUCUCCCCCAAGAGUCCACAUCGACGGGGAGGUUUGGCACCUCGAUGUCGGCUCAUCACAUCCUGGGGCUGUAGUAGGUCCCAAGGGUUGGGCUGUUCGCCCAUUAAAGUGGUACGCGAGCUGGGUUCAGAACGUCGUGAGACAGUUCGGUCCCUAUCCGUCGCAGGCGUAGGAAAUUUGAGAAGACCUGUCCUUAGUACGAGAGGACCGGGAUGGACGUACCUCUGGUGUACCAGUUGUUCUGCCAAGGGCAUGGCUGGGUAGCUAUGUACGGAAUGGAUAAGCGCUGAAAGCAUCUAAGCGCGAAGCCAACUUCAAGAUAAGAUUUCCCACCGCAAGGGUAAGACCCCAGAAAGACUAUCUGGUUGAUAGGUCGAAGGUGUAAGUGCAGCAAUGUAUUUAGCUUAUCGAUACUAAUAGGUCGAGGACUUGACC